This 447-nucleotide ribosomal RNA is filed under the name uncultured bacterium. Its description in RNAcentral is "partial 16S ribosomal RNA". It matches the Rfam family "Bacterial small subunit ribosomal RNA", at positions 29 to 523 of the family's 1533-position model. The record is from RNAcentral.
AGCGAGCGCUGGCGGCAGGCUUAACACAUGCAAGUCGAGCGCCCCGCAAGGGGAGCGGCAGACGGGAGAGUAACACGUGGGAACGUACCCUUUAGUUCGGAACAACCCAGGGAAACUUGGGCUAAUACCGGAUACGUCCGUAAGGAGAAAGAUUUAUCGCUAAAGGAUCGGCCCGCGUCUGAUUAGCUAGUUGGGGAGGUAACGGCUCACCAAGGCGACGAUCAGUAGCUGGUCUGAGAGGAGGAUCAGCCUCACUGGGACUGAGACACGGCCCAGACUCCUACGGGAGGCAGCAGUGGGGAAUAUUGGACAAUGGGCGCAAGCCUGAUCCAGCCAUGCCGCGUGGGUGAUGAAGGCCCUAGGGUUGUAAAGCCCUUUCGGCGGGGAAGAUAAUGACGGUACCCGCAGAAGAAGCCCCGGCUAACUUCGUGCCAGCAGCCGCGGUAA